GGAAUUUUAACACUGGGUCUUCCUGAAUGAGAGACCCCUCGCUUCUGAGAAGAGUCCAACUUUCAAGUUCUGGUCAUGACUUUGACCUUGGGUUCCGUUGGAAGUAGGAUCUUUGGUUCCUCGGUCGUUUCAGGGCUGUUUGAAGGAAUAUUAGAGUGAAGAUGCGUAAACUUGGAAAAAUACCUAGGCACGUGGAGAGACAGAUGAUGUUUUGUCGCUAUGGGUUGAAGCAAAAACUCCAGGGGGAAUGGAGAGAGGAUUUUUUCUCUUAUUCACAAGGCAAAGCACGCUCUGCUACCAAAAAAGAAAAAUCAGCCAUUGACAUCACUGCUCCUGACCUCCAACAAUCAACAUCCCCGUCACUUGAUGAUCCUCCUUCCUCCUUCAAUAGGCCAAUAAUAGCCUAAUGCUAUGUUGCAAUGCCUACAUCAUUCUCCUCACGUCAUCCCAUCACAUGGCGUUGUAUCACCUCACAUCAUCACAAGAAGAAGCGUGAAUACAGUACAAUAAGAUAUUUUGAGAGAGACAGAGAAAACAUAUUGAC
This is a long non-coding RNA of Equus caballus (horse), 544 nucleotides long. RefSeq lists it as uncharacterized. Lineage: Eukaryota; Metazoa; Chordata; Mammalia; Perissodactyla; Equidae. The record is from RefSeq and is a predicted model, not a curated record.